ACGGGCAUAGUUCAACGGCAGAAUAGUGGUCUCCAAAACCAUUGAUGGGAGUUCGAAUCUCUCUGCCCGUG
This 71-nucleotide transfer RNA is filed under the name Algoriphagus sp. RNAcentral's name for it is "tRNA-Trp". It matches the Rfam family "tRNA". Rfam says of the family: Transfer RNA (tRNA) molecules are approximately 80 nucleotides in length. Their secondary structure includes four short double-helical elements and three loops (D, anti-codon, and T loops). Lineage: Bacteria; Pseudomonadati; Bacteroidota; Cytophagia; Cytophagales; Cyclobacteriaceae. The record is from RNAcentral. RNAcentral also lists the same sequence under 2 other names.